Molecule: ribosomal RNA, 854 nt
Filed under: uncultured marine group I thaumarchaeote
Lineage: Archaea; Thermoproteati; Nitrososphaerota
Description: SSU rRNA
Rfam family: Archaeal small subunit ribosomal RNA
Source: RNAcentral
CUGACUGCUAUCGGAUGAUACUAAGCCAUGCGAGUCUUUGCAGUAAUGCAAGGCAUACGGCUCAGUAACACGUAGUCAACCUACCCUAUGGACGAGAAUAAUCUCGGGAAACUGAGCAUAAUUCUCGAUAGAUCAUAAUGCCUGGAAUGGUUUAUGGUUAAAAUGAUUCGUCGCCAUAGGAUGGGACUGCGGCCUAUCAGUUUGUUGGUGAGGUAAUGGCCCACCAAGACUAUUACAGGUACGGGCUCUGAGAGGAGUAGCCCGGAGAUGGGUACUGAGACACGGACCCAGGCCCUAUGGGGCGCAGCAGGCGAGAAAACUUUGCAAUGUGCGAAAGCACGACAAGGUUAAUCCGAGUGGUUUCUGCUAAAGGAACCUUUUGUUAGUCCUAAAAACACUAACGAAUAAGGGGUGGGCAAGUUCUGGUGUCAGCCGCCGCGGUAAAACCAGCACCUCAAGUGGUCAGGAUGAUUAUUGGGCCUAAAGCAUCCGUAGCCUGCUCUGUAAGUUUUCGGUUAAAUCUGUAUGCUCAACAUACAGGCCGCCGGGAAUACUGCAGAGCUAGGGAGUGGGAGAGGUAGACGGUACUCGGGAGGAAGUGGUAAAAUGCUUUGAUCUCUCGAUGACCACCUGUGGCGAAGGCGGUCUACCAGAACACGUCCGACGGUGAGGGAUGAAAGCUGGGGGAGCAAACCGGAUUAGAUACCCGGGUAGUCCCAGCUGUAAACGAUGCAGACUAGAUGAUGCAUUGGCAUAAUAGCCAUUGCAGUGUCUCAGGGAAGCCGUUAAGUCUGCCGCCUGGGAAGUACGUACGCAAGUAUGAAACUUAAAGGAAUUGGCGGGGGAGCACCACA